CUUGGGCCAAUCGCUACAGCUGCAGGAAUGCCUUGAAUUUUGAAUUUCCGACUCAGGAUUUGUUUCCUUUCAUCACCAAAUGGAAGGGCUAACCAAGGCAUUUCUGAAUAGAACUCGUCAAAGGUGGAUUGAUCUCUGUCGCUUGAGAUGAAGAUCACCUCAAAUGCGUUGUCUUUUCUUUUAAUUGUGUGGUAUGCUUCAAUUAGCUUGGGUAAAAAGGCACGACAAGGAGGGCACCAUUGAGCUGAGAAGUAAAGAAGAAUGUUCUUUCCAACUAGAUCGGACACUGGGACCUAAUCAAAGAGUAAACCAUUUGAAUGAUAAAAAAAACCUUUGCUAAUGAAUUCAAUUCGUGAUAAUAAGAAAGUUAUUGAAAGUAAUGCAAUAACAACAUGCGAGGUUAGCAUAGAACAAAAAAAAUUACCUUGGAGCCACUUUUGCCAAUCACAAAAUCAUUUUCCCCAUUAACCAAAACUGACUCAAGCGUCUGCGAUUCCAGUUUUGCCUUUUCAAUUGCAGCUAGCUCGUCAAGCUUUUCCGGUGUAAAUGGGUAGGCUUCGAUACCAUGUUCUUCGAUUAGUUCAGCUACAUUUGGGUUCAAAGUCUUCCCAUCUUGGCCAAUUAUAACAAGAUUAGGAAUGGUUCUAAGUUCAAAAUACCGCACUAGCUUCUCGCAGCUCUUGUCCUUCAAUGGCAAUGCCAACCAAGGCAUUGUCUCAAAACUCUCUUUGAAGUCUUCUUCUUCGUCGUCUAGAGAUAGUAGGACUACUUCAAAGUUCUCUCCUUUUUCCUUGAGCGUCUUAUACAAUUCCACUAGUUUAGGAGUGAAUUCACCGCACAUCCUAUGAGCAUGGACUGAAAAAUACAAGCCAACCAAUUUUCCUUCAAGGUCCGACACAGGGAUCUGCCAUUACAGAUAGCAAAAAUGUGAAUUAUGGCAUCAUCAAUUCAAUUUCAAAACUAGCUAAUUGAAUGAACCAUCUACCUUUUUUCCAUCAUUUGAAAUCACAUAAUCACGUGAGCUUGAAACCAAGAUAGAGCUUAUGGUUUGAUUCUUCUUAGCAUUCUCUUUAAGGAAAUUCAGUCUAUCAAGGUUGAACGGAUACCCAUCCACGCCAUGUUCCUUGACAGUGCUGACUCCAUUAUUAUCGCAGGAAACCUUACCAUUAGUAUCAAAAAUGACAAGUCUAGGGAUCCCUCUUACUUUGAACACUUCCUUAAGACGUUGGCGGGUCUCGGUUUCAGAGAAGGGAAUAGCAAGCCAUGGCAUUUCGGAGAAGUACGUGUUGAAGGAUUCAUCGUCUCCAUCAGAAGAAAUGAAGACCACCUCAAAGUCCCCUUUGGAUGAUAGGUGUUCAUAGACUUCUACCAACAAUGGAGUGAAAUUACGGCAUGGGCCGCACCACGAACCAGAGAAAUAGAAUCCCACAAUCUUCCCAACCAAAUCGCUGACCUUGACCUAAAAAUUAAUGUCGAACAUUAUCAGAAAAAAACAUCAGCCCUUGACGAAUCAAAAUCUUAUUCAUGGUUUCUUUCUCUUGCCAGUGAGAAGCAACAAAAAAAAGAGCCUUUUCUUAAUCAUAAAAGCUUCACAAAUUGGUCAUAAAUUUGUUCUUCAGCAAGGCUUGCAGUCUAAUUUAAACAUGAUAUUCAUCUUAAUUACUAGAAAAACCUACAAGUUCAUAUAAAAAAAGACGUCAACUUAUAAUAAGACAAGAAGAAGUAGAAUUGAAUAAGAUCAGAUCGAGGAACUCAUAUGCUAAAAGCAGUACCUGAUCACCAUUGUUGCGGAUGAGAAAGUCCCUCUCUUCUGAAGAAAGAAGCGUUGAAAGGUCGAGGGAAACGUCUUCGGUGGCCAUAGUUAGCUAUGUGAUGAACUACUCAAAAGGCUAGAACAAUUGCCAAUCCCAGUUGCUAUGUAAUGGAACUUCCAGGCUAAGGCUCCUUUAAAUUACCUACACGCCCGGCCUAGGAAAUUAUUGUUCUAAUAAUUCAACGACGACUUCAAGACUUGGCUGGCGUCGGGUGAUGACGAAGACAUUAUGACGUAGGUCUGCUGAAGUUGUUGGUAUUAGCAUUAUCACGGGCUUUUACAACUCUCCUCUUGCUUUUUUUUUUUUUUUAAUCUCUUUUUUUUUGUUUUUGUUUGUAUUCUAGUUUUAUCCAUGGUUUGAUAAAAAUUUUUGUGAGUUUGUUAUUAAAUGUAUUUUGUGUUUUAUCUUUUUAAUAAAAUCUUUAUAUUUCUUGAUACAAAAAAAUCCUUAAUUGGUUUUUUUAAUUAAAAAAUUAUUCUCUUUUGUUUUUGAUGCAUUUGAAAAUGAAUUUUUCUAUCAAUUUUUUUUUCUAAUAUAAAUCAAUAAUCAUAUGUAAAGCAUAGUUGAAAUGAACGAACGAACAAACAAACUAUAUACAUGACAUCUUACAUAGGAAGCUUAGGAAAGGGUGAAGGCCAAGAAUAAUGUAAAAUAAAACCUAUGACUCCACUACCAAUAAUGUAAAAAUAAUUAUUGAGAAAAAUAAAUCAUAAAAAUAUACUUCCAGCUCCAGUCAUCCAAAGCUUCUUAAGUCUCAGAAAAAAAAAACAUUUAACACAAACCUCAAUAAAAUUCAUAUGCUAAUUAAAUUCAGAUUUUUGUAACGUAGUCUAUUUUCUAUCAAAUGUGACUUGAUAAUAAUCACAUGCAAUUUAAUAGACAGGCUAAAAUCCAAACUUGAUAUAGUUCUUGGGUUAUAAUAGAGUUUUUCAAUAAUAAAACUCUUAACUUCUUUUUUUUAAAAAAAUAAUGAUAUUGCAUAUAUUUAAUAAUUAUAAAUAAAAUUAUAUUGUGUAUUUGAGCCAUGUCAGGACUCUAUUUCAAUAAAGAGACCCUAUAUUUUCAGGGGAGAAAAAAAGAGUUUUUAAAUGCAAUACUUUGUCAUAAGUCGUGACUUUUCCACACUCAAAAGGGCACCAUACAUAUAUGUCAUUAUACUUUAUCUCCAAACGUAAUUAAAUUAGUCAAUUAAUUGUAAGUGAGGGAAGUUAAUGAAUUUCCACUCUAAUUAAAAUGUUCAAAUUCAUUAUUCGCUUUCAACUUUAUCCUGAUUAAAUCAGGUUAAGUAGAUGACUUUCUUCAUUCGCGGGUAUCCACCAGAUAUCCUAAUCUAUUUUUUAAUUAAUUUUAUAAAAAUCAAACCCAAAUUUAAAAAAAAAAAUCCUUUAUUUAUGAAUCGUAAAACUAUGAAAUUAAAUUAAAUAUAAAACCAAGAGAUCUGGUUAGUUUAGUGUUGUUGCAAUGUGGACAAAAACUCAAAAUAUCACGGAUUGAAAUAGUGUUGUUUGUUUUUAAAAACAUUUUCAUUAUAGUCACCAAACACUUUUUAAAAUUUCUUUUAUCUUUGAAAUUUCAUUAUAAUAAUCAAUUACACCCAGUCUUUCACUGUAUAUGGGAACGAAAAUCAGCAUUUUUUUUUGUACAACUUUCUUUUCAUAACGUAAAGUAAAUCCAUCUCUUCAAUCCGAUCAAGUUGACGACAAAAUGCAAAAGAACAAAACAUAGCAUUAGCAUCCAAGUUGAUUUGUUUGGAAUUACAAGUAGAUGUGAGAAUGUGGGGUCAUUUCUUGAUUGGGAUAUUUCAGGGAAAAGGAAAAUAAUUAGAAAAAACAGUGGUGUGCUAAGAUGAAGAUGGAGGCUAGGAGCACUUACCGGUGCGAAGGAGAGACACGAAGGCCUAAAAUGUAAGCAACUUUGGUGUAAACAGGGACGGGUUUGGAAAGGUCAUUAUUAUUGAUGACAUUGUAGGAGUAGUUGUUUUUCACAGUUCUUGAAAGCUUUUUGCCACGUGUAACGGUUUUGAUGCAACCUCUUAUCAUCCCCACUAUCUCUUCACCUAUCCCCAAUGCUGUUUUUUUUUUUUUGAAAAAUUAAAUGUCAUUAUAUUAGAGUGAUGUUCAAAAUAGAAUCUUAUUUUAUUGCAUAAAAAAAUUUAAGACUUUAAGACGGGGGUUGACAGUUAGCAAUAUCAAAGAACCAUCUUAACCCAAUAGCUUAAGCUUUCAAGUGACGUCCCAAGAUAUGAUUUAUAGUAUUCUCUAACACACCCCCUCAAGUAAAAGCUCUUUGGGCUUGAAACUUGCACAGACCCACAUUACCUUGUGCUUAAUUUUUAUCAAAUAAAUAGGGAUGGUGAGAUUCGAACUCGUGACCGCUUGAUUAUCAAGGCUCUGAUACCAUGUCAAUGAACCAUCUCAACCCAAUAGCUUAAGCUUUCAUGUGAGGUCCCAGAAUAUGAUUUAUAUUAUUCUCUAACGAGUAAGAAUUUAAGGUUUUUUUAUUUGAUAAAUGUUCAUUUAACAUCAUUUUACUUUGAAAAAUUUAUGUUUUGAUACAAAACUCUAUUUUAAUCACAUUUCAGAUUAUAAGUUUUAGAAAAAAGAAAAAAAUUCAUUAAAAAUAGCGAAAGAGAGAGAAACACAUACACUGACAAGGUUUUGUUUGUGAAAAUAGCUUAAAUGUGUGUCAAUAUGUUAUUCUUGACAAGAAGAGUGCUACUAUAAUGUUUUUAAGCUUUAUAUUGUCAAAAAAGAUAAAUCGAGGUUGAAAGAGUUAUUUUUAAGUUAAACUUUGUGUUUUAAAAUUAUUUUAGAGUUUCUUUUUAGUUGAUGGAUUAGUUUAGAGGCAAUUUAAAAGUAUUUAUAAGAUGUUUUUAGAUAAAAACAUAUUAAAAAAUAGAAUUUUAAAUAAAAAACUCCAACCCAAUUCUUUAACCACUUCUCUAUUAUAUAAAAAAAAAAUAAAGCAAAUGAUGCGACAAAAAAAUAAAUCAAGCAAAUGAUUGUCAUUUGUUUUAUAAAAAAAAUAAAAUAAAGGACAAAUACUAUGUCAUCCAUCAAAGAAAAAAUAAAAUGGCUCUCAUCUUUUGGAUAAGCAUGCCGAGUCACUUGGCCCCACAAACAUGGCUUGUUUUUAGCUUCUCUUUUUUUUUUUUUAUGAAUCUUUAUCCUUGAGUUUUAAUUUUAUUUCAUUAAAAUUAAUUAUUUAAAAACACAUAAGGAUAUUAUUUUAGUAAAUACUUAAAUUAUUAAGAAUAUAUACGAAAUAUUAUUUUAUUAGAUAUCAUUUAAUUUUUAUUUUAUUUUAAAAUAAAAUUAUAAUGUUUUUUUUAUAAUAUUAGUAAGAGAUUUUUUUGGACUGAUAUUUCUUAUCUUCGCAUAUUCGCUGUCAAAGACUAUAAUAAUAGAUUCCAUGGAAAACAUUAAGGGUGUGAUUCAACUACUAAAUGAUAAUCGACUAAAAGAGUGUUUGGAGUCCACCCGUAUUUUUAAAAUAUUUUAAUUUUUUUAAUAAAAAUUAAUAUUUUUUUAUAUUUUGGAUUGUUUUAAUGCAUUAAUUUUAAAAAUAAUUUUUAAAAAAUAAAAAAAUAUUAUUUUGAUACAUUUCAGAAUGAAAAACACUUUGAAAAGCAAUCAUAACCACGCUCCCAAACAAGACAUGUUUAAAAAUGUGAUAGAAGUUGAGUUUUAAAAUAUUUUUUACUCAGAAAUAUAUUAAAAUAUAUAUUUUUUAAUUUUAAAAAAUUUAUUUUUGAUAUCAAUAUAAUAAAACAAUUCAACAAUACUAAAAAAAAAAAUUAAAUUUUAAACAAAUAAUAUUUUGCUUCAUUGAGCUAUAAACAAAAUAAUCAAAUUUUUAAUCUAUUUGUCACAUCAUGAAACAUGAUGAUCAUUAAUUAGCAAACACCACCAUGUAGGAAUCACAUGUGACACUUUAAAUUCAUCAUACCAAAUUGAUCAAAUUAUAACGUAAUCCCUAUAUUUUUAAGAAAUUAAUAGCUCACUCCCUUUAUUUAAAAGAAGCCAUAUUUUACCUCCCAUGUUAUCAUUUCCAUUUACUAUAACUUAGUUCUUCCUUUAGUUUUACAUUAUAAAAGUGCUAAACCAUUACUUUAGGUAUUAGUACAAAAAAAGUAUAUAUUAACGGAUUGACGGUCAAACCUUCUCAAUUGAGUAACUUUUUUUAUUUUUUUUUAUUAACAUGGGUAUUCGGGACAGUUUACGCGCAUCUUGACUAAUCCCAUAAACUCUGAAGUUAAUAAUCAUGUAAGCCUCCAGUAACUAUUAUAUUAGCAACCACAAGAUUUGAACCUGAGACCACAGGGAGAGUAAACCCCUUGGUCACCUACUAGAUGAUUAACUUUUUUUUUUAAAAAAAAACAGAAGGACUAACAUAUUGGUUUAUUGAGAAUACGAGGAUUCAAUUAUAAUUUACUUCAGGAAACAAAUAUGAUGCUAUUGACAUCCCCACAAGUGAACUGGCACAAUUAUUGUUUAUAUAAAAUUUCAAAAUGAUUUAUUCUUAAUUUUAACAUUUUAUUUUUAAAAUUUUAUUGUAAUGAAGUGACAGAGUAUGCUAAGAGUAUACCAAAAUAAAACACUGUUGUUUUAAUAUAAAAAUUAAUUUACAGGUUGACUGGAUAGCCUUAUAACCUAGAUGUUUUUCGAAGUUAGUUUUGAAUGAAUGGAGUGUUAUUAGUUAGUUCAGCGUGAUAAUUGGACUGAAAAUCUUUCGUUCUAAAUUAUCAACCAUUCAGAAUUGUUUUGUGCGUGAGGAUGCCAAAUUACCAAAACUAAACCCUAUUUAUAAUCCAUCACCUAUCAAUAGUGAUGUAAGAGUUCCAGCUUGUUUUCUGCAGCUGUGCCAAAACCUGGAGGGUCUAUACUAGCCCAGCAGUCCUUCCCCCGUCGUAAGGUAAGAGCCCAGCACCAGCAGUGUCCUUCCUCCGUCGUAGAGGGGUCCAUACACGAGAUGGCCAGAGAUAGUAAGUGAUUUCGAAAUAUUACAUUUCAGAUUAAGGUUGUCAAUUCCGUUCCGUUUCGCCCGGAAUGACCGAAACAUUCUAUACCAAUUCAAAAAACGAAACAAAACGGAACAAAUUUCAUCUCAUUUUAAAUCUCGGUCCGUUCCGGAUUUUUCGGCUAAAUUCCACCCGGAACGUUCCUGUUUCAUUCCACAUGUUCCGUUCCGCUCUUGAAAAGUCAUUGAAUCAAAUUGAACCUUGUUCAAUUUAAUUAAUUAAACCACCCAAUUAUAAAAAGUUUUUUUUCAUUAUAAUUUUCAAUAACAAUGAUAUUAAUAAUAAUAUUGAAAAUUAUUAUUACUAUUUUCAUUAACAAUGAUAUUAAUUUUUUAAAAUUAGAUUUAUCACUAAUAUAUAUGGUUUAUAUUCAUGUUGUUUUUUUCAUGUUUAUACUUUGUAGGAAUUUGAGCAAAAUAAAGGAUGCUUUAGAUUUCAUUAGCCUUGAUAAUAUUAACCUAGCUUUAUAUUUAAAAUAUUUGUGUUAAAACAUUUUAUUUUCAUAAUAUUUUGAUAUUUUGUUUAAGUUGAAUUACUUUAAGUUAAAGAUCUAUUUAAUCUUGACUAUUUAGAAAUAUUUUAAAUUUUAAAAUUAUAUUUGUUUGGCAUUGUGUUUGUAUUGCAUAAUUUAUAAUUAAUUUAUCUUGAAUUUGAAUUAUGUUUGUUGAAUAUAUAUAUAUAUAUAUAUAUAUGAACAGUACAACCCCGAAACGGCACGCCGAAACACUCCGAAACUGAAACAUUCCAUUCCAAUUGAAAAACGAAACAUCUAUCAAAACAGAAUUGACAACCUUGUUUCAGACUGCAACAAAUGAUAAGGUUUUGUGGCUGUCAUGGCGAAGGCAAAUUAAAGCACAUGAGAUUCAGUGGUGAGAAGCUAUGGAAAGUGGCAAAAAGAAACUGCGAGAACAUGAAACACGCAUUUGAACAUGAAAAAGUAAAUAAGCUGAACAUAAUUAAUGGGCCAUAGAAGCGAAGGUUUUUUCAAUGGCUUCAAACUUUUUGGCAGCGUGCUUGAUUGUUGUCGCCGAAUUUCUUGGCAGUGUGCUUGCUUGAAUUGCGGAUGUAUCACAUGGAUGAUAUUUUCGUUCUUUCGAGGCAUCAAAUAAUAUGGUGUCACGAGAAUUAAGCAAAUAGAAAAGCAUUAAAUUUACGGAAAUCUUUUCCUGUGGUCUUGGUGUAGUUGUUGGCUUUGCUAACUUCUACAAUCAAAUAAUAUGAAUGAAGCUGGUUCUUCAUCCAGCCAAAUAGAAACAAAGAGAGCGGCACAAUGGCAUCAUGCAUAGCAUUUUCCUUUAGGAAUGACAAAAACCUCAUAUCAAGUGAUUGAGCUAUGAGAACAACCAUCAACCAUGGAUUCCCAAGUUUCAAAUGGGUCACAGGAUUCACAAAAACACACAGAGCUGUUUAUUUAUUUUUCGUAUCCAAAUACAGGACAUGAAAACCCUUCAGCUUCACACUUCUUAGAUACAUAACGAUAACAGGAGAGACAUCCCCACUAUAUUCACACACAUGCAACAAACAUCUUCCAUUGCAUACUUACUACAGCAGAAAGCCCAUAAAACCCGACACAAGCAGCGCUUGCCUGCUUAAGCUCUGCGGCACACAUCUCCAUCGCAGACCCUUCCUUCCUUUCCCUUUUCACUUCCAGUAUCUUCAUCUUCCUUCAAAGCACACUUAGGGUGAAGAUCAAAGUCACAUUGUUUGCAAAAGAAAGACCACCUAUAUCCCGUUUCCCCACAGCCAUCGCAACCGUAUGCACUGCGUUUAGUACGUAUCAGCUCAUGCUCAGUAUGUAGUUCGUGUUUCACUUUCUCUGGCCACCCCUUCGCCUUUUCCUCAAGCUCCUCCUCCAAUUGCUUUAGAUGUUCCUCGGUAAAUGGAAAAGCAUCUGCCCCGUAAGCUGUCAAGUGCAUCCGAGCUUCCUUGGUAACGGUCCGGCCACUUGGGCCAAUCGCUAAAGCUGCAGGAAUGCCUUGAAUUUUGAAUUUCCGACUCAGGAUUUGUUUCCUUCCAUCACCAAAUGGAAGGGCUAACCAAGGCAUUUCUGAAUAGAACUCGUCAAAGGUGGAUUGAUCUCUGUCGCUUGAGAUGAAGAUCACCUCAAAUGCGUUGUCUUUUCUUUUAAUUGUGUGGUAUGCUUCAAUUAGCUUGGGUAAAAAGGCACGACAUGGAGGGCACCAAUGAGCUGAGAAGUAAAGAAGAAUGUUCUUUCCAACUAGAUCGGACACUGGGACCUAAUCAAGAGCAAACCAUUUGAAUGAUAUAAAAAACCUUUGCUAAUGAAUUCAAUUCGUGAUCAUAAGAAAGUUAUUGAAAGUAAUGCAAUAACAUGCGAGGUUAGCAUAGAACAAAAAACAUUACCUUGGAGCCACUUUUGUCAAUCAAAAAAUCAUUUUCCCCAUUAACCAAAACUGACUCAAGCGUCUGCGAUUCCAGUUUUGCCUUUUCAAUUGCAGCUAGCUCGUCAAGCUUUUCCGGUGUAAAUGGGUAGGCUUCAAUACCAUGUUCUUCGAUUAGUUCAGCUACAUUUGGGUUCAAAGUCUUCCCAUCUUGGCCAAUUAUGACAAGAUUAGGAAUGGUUCUAAGUUCAAAAUACCGCACUAGCUUCUCGCAGCUCUUGUCCUUAAAAGGCAAUGCCAACCAAGGCAUUGUCUCAAAACUCUCUUUGAAGUCUUCUUCUUCGUCGUCUAGAGAUAGUAGGACUACUUCAAAGUUCUCUCUUUUUUCCUUGAGCGUCUUAUACAGUUCCACUAGUUUAGGAGUGAAUUCACGGCACAUCCUAUGAGCAUGGGCUGAAAAAUACAAGCCAACCAAUUUUCCUUCAAGGUCCGACACAGGGAUCUGCCAUUACAGAUAGCAAAAAUGUGAAUUAUGGCAUCAUCAAUUCAAUUUCAAAACUAGCUAAUUGAAUGAACCAUCUACCUUUUUUCCAUCAUUUGAAAUCACAUAAUCACGUGAGCUUGAAACCAAGAUAGAGCUUAUGGUUUGAUUCUUCUUAGCAUUCUCUUCUUGCUCUUUAAGGAAAUUCAGUCUAUCAAGGUUGAACGGAUACCCAUCCACGCCAUGUUCCUUGACAUGUCUGACUCCAUUAUCGCAGGAAACCUUACCAUUAGUAUCAAAAAUAACAAGUUUAGGGAUCCCUCUUACUUUGAACACUUCCUUAAGACGUUGGCGGGUCUCCGUAUCAGGGAAGGGAAUAGCAAGCCAAGGCAUUUCGGAGAAGUAUGUGUUGAAGGAUUCAUCGUCUCCGUCAGAAGAAACGAAGACGACCUCAAAGUCCCCUUUGGAUGAUAGUUGUUCAUAGACUUCUACCAACAAUGGAGUGAAAUUACGGCAUGGGCCGCACCACGAACCAGAGAAAUAGAAUCCCACAAUCUUCCCAACCAAAUUGCUGAACUUAACCUAAAAAUUAGUGUCGAGCAUAAUCAGAAAAAAAAAAAAAACAUUAGCCCAUAAAUUAAGAGGGUAAACAAAAACUGAGGCUUUUCUUAAUCAUAAAAGCUCUAGAAAUUGGUCAUAAACUUGUUCUUCAGCAAGGGUCGCACUCUAAUUUAAACAUGAUAUCCAUCUUAAUUACGAGAAAAAGUUUAAUAAGACAAGUAGAAGUAGAUCGCAUAAGACCAGAGAAAUCCAUAAGCUAAAAGCAGUACCUGGUCACCAUUGUUGCGGAUGAGAAAGUCCCUCUCUUCCGACGAAAGAAGGGAUGAAAGGUCGUGCGAAACGUCUUCGUUGGCCAUUGUUAAGUGAUGAACUACUCAAAAUGCUAUAACAAUUGCCGAUUCCAAACGCUAUUUAUUGGGACAAACUGGGAUGGUUCCUUUUAAGUUACUUGCACAGCACGCCUAGGGAAUUAUCAUACGUCAACGAUGACAUGUAAAUUUGGAUGGUGAUGCCAAAUUAAAACAUCAUUCUCCUUAUCUAAAUACCAUAGUUAUUAAACCCGGCCCGGGGGUUGACCCGGCCAAGGGACCGGGUCCCGGGUUUCAUGGGUCAACCCGGGUCAACCCGGAUUAACCCGGAAAAAUUAAAAAAAAUUAAAGUUUUAAUAUUUCAUAUGAAAAAAUCUAUGUAAAUAUAGAUUAUACAUAUUAUGAAGUUUAAAAUAAUAUUUUAAAAAGUUUUUUAUCCCACAUUGAAAAAACAUAACUUUUUUCUUAGAAACAUAGAGUAUAUAUACUAAUGAGUUUCAAAUCCCACAUUGAAAAGAUAAUAUAUUAUCCUUUUAAGUUGAAGUAUUUAAACCAAAAGGUUUUUUAUCCCACAUUGAAAAAACAUGAUUUUUUUCUUGGGAACAUAGAGUAUAUAUAUUAAUGGGUUUCAAAUCCCACAUUGAAAAAACAUGGUUUUUUUUUCAUGGGAACAUAGUGUAUAUAUAUGAAAGGGUUUCAAAUCCCACAUUGAAAAGAUAUCAUGUUAUCCUUUUAAGUUGAAGUAUUUAAACCAAAAAGUUUUUUAUCCCACAUUGAAAAAACAUGGUUUUUUUCAUGGGAACAUAGUGUAUAUAUAUGAAAGGGUUUCAAAUCCCACAUUGAAAAGAUACCAUGUUAUCCUUUUAAGUUGAAGUAUUUAAACCAAAAGGUUUUUUAUCCCACAUUGAAAAAACAUGAUUUUUUUCAUGGGAACAUAGUGUAUAUAUAUGAAAGGGUUUCAAAUCCCACAUUGGAAAGAUACUAUGUUAUUUUUUUAAGUUGAAGUAUUUAAACCAAAAGGUUUUUUAUCCCACAUUGAAAAAACAUGGUUUUUUUCAUGGGAACAUAGUGUAUAUAUAUGAAAGGGUUUCAAAUCCCACAUUGGAAAGAUACUAUGUUAUCCUUUUAAGUUGAAGUAUUUAAACCAAAAGGUUUUUUAUCCCACAUUGAAAAAACAUGAUUUUUUUCAUGGGAACAUAGUGUAUAUAUAUGAAAGGGCUUCAAAUCUCACAUUGAAAAGAUACUAUGUUAUCCUUUUAAGUUGAAAUAUUUAAACCAAAAGAUUUUUAUCCCACAUUGAAAAAACAUGGUUUUUUUCAUGGAAACAUAGAGUAUAUAUACUAAUGGGUUUCAAAUCCCACAUUUGAAAAAAAAAAAAAAAAAAAAAACCCGGGUCUCGUCCGGGUCACCCGGGUUCCGGGUUGACCCGCCGGGUCGCCCGGGUUUGGCCGGGCUGUUGCCACAGCCGGUCUUUUAUUAAACCCGGCCCGGUCCAGCCACCGGGUCGACCGGGUCCCGGGUCGACCCGCCGGGCCGGGCCGGGUUUAAUAACUAUGCUAAAUACCAGUAGGUUCGAGAAACUGGUAUUAAACAUGCUUUCCCACGUGCUUUUACACACCUCCUUUUGCUUUUUUGUUUAAAAAAGAAAAAGAAAAAGAAAAAAACAUAUUUUUUUUUUUUUAAUUUCUCUCUCUUUUGUUUUAUCCUUAUUUCUUUUCCUUUAAAGAUUCAUACAGUCACCCAGUCACUCUUCACUUUUUACCUUAUUAGUUUAUACAGCUGGGUCAGGCAAGGAUUUAGUCUAGCAGCCAUAACAUUGGGUCUCAUAUAGUUGCUUGUCUAAGCAUCUUGGAUCAUCAGGCAUGGAUUAGGUGUAACAGGCAAGCCAGUUCCAAUUCAUGGGUAUGGUAUAAUUACCCUCAUAAUUAUCACAUUGAGCUUGCCUCUGCAGGUCAACCAAAGAUCCGGGUAAUCUAGGACCUUAGUUAGGUAUAUUUAAUUUAAAAUUCAGGUCUGUAAUUGGCCUAAAUAAAACCGGUCAUCUUGUUAGGUUAACUCGGAAUUUGAUUGACCCAGUAAAACUCAAUAGAUACCUGUUUUUUUAAAAUAUAUUUUUUCUCUUAACUAGAGAUCCUUUUCUUUCAUAUUUUUUAGUUGGUUAUAACUUAUUUCAAAGUUCACUAUAUAAAUACUAGAAGAAUGUUUUUAUUUUUUUAAUGUGAGAUUUGAAGCACUGUAGUAUAUAUACUCUAUGUUUACAAGAAAAAAGUUAUGUUUUUUCAAUGUGGGAUAAAAAACCUUUUUGAUUUAAAUACUUCAACUUAAAAUAAUAUGAUAAUAUCUUUUAAAUGUGAGAUAAAAAAUCUUUUAAAAUAAUCUUUUAAAUUUAAUUAUUUACAACAUGUAUAGCCUAUAUCCACACAGAUUGUUUCUUAAUUUUUUUCAUAUGAAAUAUUAAAACCUCAUAUAUUUUUUUAAAAUUUUUCCAAGUUGACCCAGGUCAACCCGUGAAAUCCGGGUCUCGGCUCCUGGGCCGGGUUUGAUAACUAUGGGUGCAAUAAAAAUAUAACUUUAAAGAAUGCAAUUAAAAAAAAUAAAGUGACGUGACCGGUUAAAAAAAUAAAAACUAAAAAAAUGUACAGAACCUCAUUUUUAUUUUUAUUUUUGCUCAGGGAGCCUCUUUUAAAUAAUAUUGAUUUUUUUUGUUAUGUGUUUAAUUUUCGGAGUGGUUUUUUUGGUUCAUCUAUGGUUUUGUUUUUAUUUUUUAUAUAGAUAAAAUAUGUUUUUGAAAAUAAAAAAUGUUUAAAUUUAGAUGAUAUUUUUAAUGUGUGUAGUUUUACAUGUUAUUCUUUUUUUUUAUUCAAUCAAUUUAAUGUAUUAUUUUUCACGAUUCAAUAUAUUAAUCUACAUUUAUCUCUCGAUUUUUUAAGUUUUGUUUUUAGAUGUCAUAAAUAAUUUUUUAUUGAUUUAUUAGUGCACAUAAUUCUUAGUUUAUUUGAUUACUUAUGUGCAUCAACAUUUUGAUUUGUUAUAGUUUUUGAACUAUCAAAAUACAUUGAAAAAACCUGUAUAAAUAUUUUUUUAUAAAAAUAAAAAUAUUUAACUUACAGUAAAGCGGGACACGUAGCUAAUAAAUUCUAUUAAAUGAGUUAGCAAGGUAGAAAACAAACUUGUAAUAGAUUUGUGCACAUUGUCAUUUCACCAUAAGUUACAUUAGCUCUCAAAACUUUUACGUAGAAACUUAUAAUACUAGAACUAACCAAACAUACUACCAGAAAUGUACUAAUCUUGCAACAAAAUAAGAAUCAACACAUCAAAUUUCCUUAGUGCCUUUGAAACAUAAAAUGUAAAUUAUUAGGGCACAAUUAAUAAUAACUUAUAGGUAAUAAUUAAUCUUCAUCAAAUAUGCUAAAUAACAUAAAUCAACUUUGUCAAACAUAAUUAUUGUGAACAUUGAUAUUUUUUUUAGCCCUGUUUGUUUCAUGAAAAAUGGUUUUUUAGAAAUUAUUUUCCAAACUUUUCUGUGUUUAUUUGUCAUUAGAAAAAUUAAUCAACAAAAAAAACUUUCCAAUCAAAGAAAAAUUUAACUUUGUUUCUAGAAAAGUGUUUUUCUUUUAUUUUGGGUGGAAAACACUUUCUAGAAGUUGUGAAAAAUUUAGAAAUGUCUUGUUAUUUGCUGAUUAUAUCAAAUUUGAUCCUCAAACUUUUAAUUGUUAUAUAUUUUGUUUUGAUUUUUUUCUUUCAAUUUCAUCAUUUAGAAUUUGAUUUAAUUUGAUUUUUAUAUCAAUUUUGGUCUUUAUUUUUAUUAUUGUUAUUUGCUUUUCUCUUGUCAUUUUCUUAAUUGAAAUUUUUUUAUCUAUCAAAUCUAGUCCUUAUUUUUUUUAUUGUUAUUUAUUUUAUUUGAAAUAAUUUAUAAAAUUAUAUAUUUUUUUAAUUUCAUCAUCUUUCAAUGUUUUUAUUUGUUAGAUUUGAUCUCUAUUAUUUUGAUUGUUAUUUAUUUUAUUUGAGAUAAUUUAUGAAAUUAGAUUUUUUUAAUUUUAUUAUCAUUUAAAUUUUUAAUUUGUAAUAUUUGUUCCUUAUUAUUUUAAUAAACUUAAAAAAAAAUAAUUUAUUUUCCAGCUCAUUUUGCAUGAUAUAGUUAAAUACUAGAAAAUGUUUUUAAAUUUUUUUGUUUUAUGAUACUAUCAAAAAUCAAAAAAAUAAUUUACUUUUUAAAAAUUUAAUUUUCAAGAAAAUUACCUUUUUUAAAAAAAUAUAUGUUUUUAGCAAAGAAAGGGGUUAAUGUUAAAUUUUUUUAUAUAUGACAUGGGGGCAGAGUGCAAGCCAGCUAGCCGGAUAGUCUUUGGUGGAUGUUCUUUAUACGAUUUUUUUUAGAUGGAAAUCUGAGCUUUAUUGACCAUGUAUGUCUUGCCAAGUGGCUUCUUUUCUUUCCUUAACUGUCAUGUCUCAUUUGAUAAUUGGGAAUUCCUGUCAGGGCUUCUUUAUUUUAUUGUUAUAUUAGUUUGGUUUUGUGUUUUUUUAAUCAAGUUGGUGGGUCCAGAAAUUAUGAUGUCGUCAAGGUUCUUUCCUCGACUUGUCUCUAAUUCUUGAAUAUAUUAACAAAACUUUUAAAAUACGUAAAAAUUAAAUAUACUAUAAAUCAACAAACAAUUUAUUUGGAUUUAUUUUUUUAUAUAUAUAGACACACACACUGUAAAUCAAGACAUAAUUAACUAUGAACUUGCAUAGUUAUUUUACUAUAUAUUAAAACAUUUGGAAAAAACACUGGAGAUUUACUAUGAACACAAACACAUUGUUCUAUGAAAGACACUAUGUCAUAGAGUAUUUGCACUGUGGACGACACUGUAGCACCCUGGGAGCGUUCCUUUCCUUUGUUUUUAGUCAAGAAUUGCGGCUGGGGGUGUGACAUUCUUUGCCGAAAGCCGUUGGGUCUGCCUUUGGUAGCUGGACCUAACGCUGUUGGGUCUGGUUGACAAGUCAGACCCAAAACACUUCCAAAACAUGUCAAUAGCGUUGGGUCCUGCAUCCCAGCCAGACCCAACAGAGUAUUUGACUGUGGACACAGAGUGUUUGACUGUGGAUGACACUGUCUGUAGCGCCUGUCAGAGGCGUUAUCUUUUCUGUUUGUAAGUCAGAAAGGGUUGUUGGGUCGUUGCAGCAGGACCCAAUAGCUUUGGGUCCUGCUGGAACCAUUAGAGUUUGGUCUUGCCCUAGUAGGACCCAAGACUGUAAUUUUUUUUCCUUUUUCAUACGGGUAUGGCUGCGUAACCAGACCCAACAGCCAUACCCCAAUUAAAUUUCUUGGCCGUUACCUUCUCUAAUUUAAAUUUAUUUUUUAAAAUAAAUUGAUUGUACUGUGGACACCACUAUAGCACCUUCCCAGAUCGAUCCCAGCUUUAUCAUCUACACACGCACGCACAUGCACUUUUUUCCUUUGUCGACAAGGAAUUAAAGUUGAUCAAUGCAAGAAAGUAGUAAGAUCACUGACAUCGGCAUACGAAGAUUGUAAAAAAAAUUGAUUUCCUUUGGUGGAUGGAUUGGGAAUCCAUGUUAUCACAUAUGUGAGAAUUCAAUCCCGCAUGCCUCUGUACAUUGUAAAUAUAUAUCUUUUUCACUACAGUAUAACACCACCAUUGAAUAUUAAUGGAAGACCAUUGAUCAAUAAGGACGACUGGCUUCCAAACCCAGUAGCCAUACCUAAUUAAAUUUCUUUGUCGUUGCCUUCUCUGACUUAAAUUUAUUUCUUAAAAUAAAUUGAUGAUAUUUUUUUUUAUAUUGUAUCAAAGUUGUGUGAUGAUAAUUUUUUUUUCCAUUUCAAGUUGGGUUGAAUUUCCUAAUUAAAUCAUGUUUGAUUUUGCGUUUCAGAAAUUCUUUGAAAUUUUUUUGACAAUUUUUAAGUUUUUUUCUUUGCUUCAAAUUAAUAUUUUUGUUAUGUUUUUGUAUUUUUUUAAAAAAAUAUAUGUUGAGAUUUUGUCUGGCUGGGAUGUUAGACCAAGAAAUUUUUUAAUUUUUCAAUUUUUUUCUUUACUUCAAAAUAAUAUUUUCUUCAUGUUUUUGUAUUAUUUUUUAAAUAAUUUUUUUUAAAAAAUAUAUAUUGAUAUUGUGUCUGGUUGAGAGGUGAGAACCAAGAAAUUUAAAUUUUUUUAAUUUUUUCUUUAUUUUAAAUUAAUAUUCUUUUGAUAUUUUUGUAUUAUUUUUCAAAAAAUUAUACUGAAAUUGGGUCUGGCCGCGUAGCCAGAUCCAUGGCUGCGUUGGCCCCUGCCUUCCAGCAUGACCCAACAGCGUUGCCCACUACUCAUAAUAGGACUCAACGCUUAAUUGGACCCUGCUGCCUCCAUGCCCAACAACUUUUGCAACUAGGACCCAACAACGGUGGGCUCGGUCUCCGAGCAGGACCCAAUAUGCGUUGCCAGCCUGGGCGAUUGGGUCCUUUCCGCUGAAGGCACUUGACUGUGUAGCAAGCAUCGAAAACACAAGCUCAGUAGCAAUUCAUUUUUGCAACUAGACAGGCUAUAAACAAGCCUAUAAGCCCUUUUUUCUCUUAAAGAGAGAGAUUCAUACUUAUCAAUAUUACAAGGGAAAGAAAAGAUCCGAAACCGAAAAGGGAUUAUCUUGAUUUGAUUGCUUUCUAAAUAGGAUGUGCAUUUCUCCUAGAACCAGUUGGCUUACAGGCUUACAGGGAACCAAAAAUGCUUGGAAGUGACAAUUAGAUUUCUCUUAUUUAAAUUUAUUUUUCAAAAUAAAUUGAUGAGACUUUUAUUAUAUUGAUUAAAAGUUGGGUGAUGAUUUUUUUUUUCAUUUCAAGUUGGGUUGAAUUUUCUAAUUAAAUCAUGUUUGAUUUUGCGUUUCAAAAUUUUUUUGAAAUUUUUUGGAUAAUUUUUAUUUUUUUUUCUUUACUUCAAAUUAAUAUUUUUUUUUUAUGUUUUUGUAUUAUUUUUUAUAAAAAAAAUAUGUUGAGAUUGUCUCUGACUCGAAGCCAGACCCAAGAAAUUUUAAAAUUUCAAUUUUUUUCUUUACUUCAAAAUAAUAUUUUUUUUGAUGUUUUUGUAUUAUUUUUAAAAUAUAUUAUCUAAAAACAUAUAUUGAGAUUGUGUCUGGAUGAGAGGGAAGACCCAAGAAAUUUAAUUUUUUUUUUCUUUACUUCAAAUUAAUAUUCUUUUGAUACUUUGGUAUUAUGUUUUUAAAUAUCAUUUUAAAAACAAUUAUGUUAAGAUUAGGUCUGGUUGCGUCACCAGACCCAUGGCAGCAGUGGGCCCUGCCUACAAGCAGAACCCACCGCUACUAGGUCCUUCUGUCAAGCAUGACUCAAUGAUGUUGGGCCCUGCUGCCCAGCAGCGAUGGGCCACCCUCCAGGACCUAUUAGCUUUGGGUCUUGCGGCCAGCACGACCCAUCAAAAAGCAUUGGGUCUUGCUGGGGGCAGGACCCAAUAAGCCAAUACUGUAAUGUGUUUUUCUUUUCUCUUAUUUUUUUUCACAGGGUAAAGAGGAAAUAUUAUUAUUAUAUUAUUAUGUUAUUGUUAUUGUUAUUGUUAUUCUUAUCAUUAAUAAAUUCAAAGAAACAAAAUUAUUACGAUUGAAGAAAAACCAUAAAUUUUAUUUAAAGAGAUUAAAAAAUAUAAAAACUUGAGUCAGACAAGUUUAACAUUAUUAUUAGUAUUAUAAAUAUUAUUAUUUUUAUUAUAGGUAAUACUAUUAAUAUAAUAAUUAAUAAAUUUGAAAAAAAUAUCAUUAAUAUUGAAAAAUAACCAUGGAUUUGAUUUGAAUGUUAAAAUUAAAAAUUAUUAUUAUUAUUAUUAACUUGGGUUUGGCAUCCCCUUCUAAACUUGAGAAACUUGGGGCACGAAAGGGACACAUGAUCGAAGUUGCUUGGGAGAGGCAAGAGCGCGGAUUCAAGUCCCUUAGGUCUUGCAGCCGCGCCUGACCCACCAUAUUUGGGUUAGGUGUUUGGAGCAAAGCUUGGGUCUGGCUGCAAUGCCAGACCCAAGAGCGUUGAGUCUGGCUGAAAGGACGGACCCCAAGCUCAGGGGUCUUUCUUUUUAAAUAGACCCAAUGCUCUUGCGAGCUGGACCCAUUAAAGUUAAAACAUGCUGCCACCAGAGCCCAGCAGCAGUGGCCCUGCUGCCAGCCCCACCUGCCUAGCAAGACCCAAUGUUGUUGGGUCCUUCUGUUAAGCAUGACCCAAUGAUGUUGGGCCCAGAUGGGUACCCAGCUACUGGGUCAUUCUGCCGAGCAUGACCCAAUGAUGCUGUAACUUUAAUGCGUUCGGAUUGCAGCCAGAUCCAAUGCUCUUGGGUCUAACAUUAAUAAGGGGCGCAAAGCUCUUGGGUCUGAUGUUGCAGCCAGACCCACUUACUCUUUGAUAAGUUUAAUAUUGUUAUGAAUAUUAAAAAUAUUAUUAUUUGUAUUAGAAAUAUUCUUAUUUUUAUUAUAAUUAAUAUAGUAAUUAACAAAUUUGAAAAACAAAUUUAAUAUUGAAAAACAACUAUAGAUUUGAUUUAAAGGGUAAACUUAAAAAUUAUUAUUAUUAUUAUUAUUAUUAUUAUUAUUAUUAUCAUCAUUAAUAAAUUUUUUUAAAAAAUUAUUAUUGUGGAAGAAAAACCAUAAUUGUUUUGUGAAUAGAUUAAAAAAAAUAAAAACUUGGGUCAGACAAGUUAUAUAUUAUUAUUAAUAUUAUAAAUAUUUUUUUAAAAAAAACUAUAUUGAGAUUGUGUCUGGCUGAGUAGUGAGACCCAAGAAAUUUUAAAAUUUUUAUUUUUUUUCUUUACUUCAAAUUAAUAUUCUUUUUAUAUUUUUGUAUUAUUUCUAAAAAAAUUAUACUUAUUAUAUAUUAUAUUAUAUAUGUACAUAUUUUUAUUUUCUAUAUUAAAACGCGUUAUCUUUGUUGUUUGUAAGUAAAAAAUUACGGCGGAUUAAUGGAUCCUGCUACCACCAGGACCUAAUAGCGUGAGACCCUGUUGCGAGUAGGAUCCCAUUGGCGUGAGGUUCUAUUGCCUGCAAGAUCCCAUAGUGCUGGGUCCUUUAGGACCCAUUAGUGUUGGAUCCUGCAAGACCCAUCAGCUUUGGGUCCUGCGGCAAUCAAAACCCAUAAAAAAGUGUUGGUCUUGCCACCAGCAGAACCCAAUACUGUAAUGUGUUUUUCUUUUUUCUUAUUUUUUUCUUAAAGGGUAAAGAGGAAAUAUUAUUAUUAUAUUAUUGUUAUUGUUAUUGUUCUUUUUAUCAUUAAUAAAUUCAAAGAGAAAAAUGAUUACUAUUGAAGAAAAACCAUAAAUUUUAUUUGAAGAGAUUAAAAACAUAAAAACUUGGGUCAGGCAAGUUUAACAUUAUUAUUAAUAUUCUAAAUAUUAUUAUUUUUAUUAUAGUUAAUAUUAUUAGUAUAAUAAUUAAUAAAUUUGAAAACAAAUAUCAUUAAUAUUGAAAAACAACCAUAGAUUUGAUUUGAAGGGUAAAAUUAAAAAUUAUUAUUAUUAUCAUCAUUAAUAAAUUUGAAAAACAAUAUUAUUACUAUCAAAUAAAAAUAAUAAAUUUUAUUUAAAGGGAUUAAAAACUAUAAAAACUUGGGCCAAAUAAAUUUAAUAUUAUUAUUAAUAUUAUAAAUUUUAUUAAAUUCAUUAAUAUAUUAAAUUUGCAAUGAAUUUCAUUACUAUUUAAAAAAAACAUAGAUUUGAUUUGAAGGGUAAAAUCAAUUAUCAUCAUAAUCAUCAUCAUCAUCUACGCGGAGAAGACGGUUAUAAGUAGGAUUUGGGUGCGGCUCUGCAGCCAGACCCAGAGAUAUUGGUUAUGGCUGCACAACCACACCUUUAUUUAUUAGGUGUUGCUCCGCAGCUACACCCAAUAGAUAAACCUGAUUGGAUUGGGUCCUUCUGCCAACUUUUACACCCAAUAGCAGGACCUGAUUGGCUUCGAUCCUGUUGCCAGCAGCACCCAACACCUAUCAACGUUGGGUCCAGUACCAGUAAGACCCAAAAGCUUUGGGUCUGGCGAAACUAGACCCAUCGACGAUGGGUUCUGUUGACAGCUGAAUCUAUCAGCGUUGGGUCCUGUUAAUCAGCAAGGCCCAAAAGUUGUGGGUCUUUCUGUCAGACUCAAUGCUAUUGGAUCUGGCUUGCACUAGACCCAAGACACUUAAAACAAUUUCUACAUUUGACAAAAAAAUUCUUUUUGACACGCUGCGGAGCACAGACUAAUAUGUUAGAUAUCAAACAAUAGCGUGUGUACUGGAUUACUGUGGAAAUUAUUUUUUAUAUAAAAAUAUAAUAAAAUAAUAUUUUUUAUUUUUUAUAAAUUAUUUUUAAGAUUAAAAUUUAAAAUGAUUAAAAAAUAAAAAAUUGUUUUGAAAAAAACAAUUCAUAUUUUUAAAAACAUAGUUUAAAAAGCUACUAGAUGCCAUGUCCGCGCGAUACCGCGAGCUUGUGCAUUGUCGUGGGUUUGUGGAAAAAAUCAUAAAAAAUAAAAAAAAAUCAUAUGGAGAAAACUUGUUGCAAUCCACAAUGUUUUCAAGGAAAAAACUAUAAAGCUAAAUUCUCAACCAGCUUAAUAUUAAAAAAAUAAAAUCGACAAAGAUAAUUUUGAAAAAAAUCAUAACAAAAAAAAACGAAAUGAAAAAAAAUCAUGCAGGGAAACACUAUAGCAAAUAGUGUUUCCUGAGAAAAUCUACAGUUGUAAUUCUCAACCAUUUCAAUAUUAAAAUAAUAAAAUCGAUAAAGAUAAUUUUAAAAAAAAAUCAUAAAAAAAAAUCAUGUGGGGGAACACGGUAGCAAUCCACAGUGUUUUAAAGAAAAAAAACUAUGAAGUUAAAUUCUCAACCAGCUUAAUAUGAAAAAAAAAUCGACAAAGACAAUUCUGGAAAAAAAAUCAUAAAAAAGAACAAAAAAACGAUGUGCGGAAACACUGUAGCAAUCCACGAUAUUUUAAAGAAAAAAACUACAAAGCUAAAUUCUCAACUAGCGCAAUAUUAAAAAAAUAAAAUCGACAAAAACCAUUCUGAAAAGAAAAACACAAAAAAAAGAAAAAGAAAAGAAAGAAGAAGACAAUUUUGGAAAAAACAAAGCAAAAAAAAAUGAAAAAAAAUAGAAAAACAAACAUGCGGGGAAAGUUAAAGCUAAAUUCUCAACCAGCUCAAUAUUAAAAAAAAUUGACAAAGAUAAUUUAAAAAAAAAACAUGUGAGGAAGCACUGUAGCAAAAUAAAAACCUUGUGGGGAAACAUUGUAGCAAUCCAUAAUGUUUUUUUUAAAAAAAACUAUGAAGCAAAAUUUUCAACCAGCUCAAUUUAAAAAAAAAAUCAAAAAAUAUAAUUUUGAAAAAAAACACAAAAAAAACAAAAAAAAACAAAAAAAAAGACAAUCUUGGGGAAAAAAAGGAAAAAAAACAUGUAAAACCCAAAAAAAGGAAAAAAAUGAAAAUAAAUGUUGGGAAAAAUAAAAAAAACACAAAAAUAAAAUAAAAAGAAGACAAUCUUGGAAAAAAAAAACAUGUAAAACAAAUCAAAAAAAAUGAAAAAAAUAUGGGGACUUUCCCCACACAUUUUAGAGUAUUACUAGUUACAUGACCCGCGCGAUGAUGCGGGUUAAUUUUUUUUAUAUAUAAAUAAAAUUUAAAAAAAAACUAAGAUCUAAAAAUAUUAGGUUUUUCUGUAAAGCUAUAUCCAAGAGUUUUGGGUUUGACUGCAACGCCUGACGCAAAAAUAAUAUUUAUAAUUCUUUAUCCUUUGAAAAUGUUAUGUACAAGAUCAAAUGUAUCUUAUGUUUUGAGCAUAAUGAGUAAACGUAAAUCUAAUCCAUGUAAAAGUAAUAGAAAAAUAGUUAAUAAUAAUCUUAAGUACUGAAAAAUAACUAAAAUGUUUUUCUAAUCUAUGAAAGAAAAGAGCUAGUAAUUCAUGAUUAUUUAAAUGCUAGUUUUUAAUUAAAUAUUGAAAAUAAAAAUUUAAUUUGAUUAUAUUAUAUUCUACAUAAUAAUGAUGCUAUGAGUUGAAAGAAUUUUAAAUAAAAGAUCAAAAUAGAUUUUACAACUAAAAUUAAAUAUAUCUCUAUAUUUGAAGGAACAAAAAAUUUUUUUAGUAAUUCUAAUAUUAUUGAUCCAGUAGCUAUGUUUUUUUAUUUUAUUUCCUUUUCACUUUCUAGAACUGCAUUUGGACUUCCACCAUCAUUGCAUGGGUGGAGGGAGUACAUCAGCAGAAAUACGAGAUCCCAACAGGAAACAACUAAACAAAGAACAUAAAGAUCAAACUUGCAUUUCUCCGACAGAGAGAGAGAGAGAGAGGAUACACCCUUGCAUGGGUUUUGUUUUCUACAUAAAAUCCAUUCGUGUCAAGUUCACAACGUGCAACAAGAAAAUAUUCAUGUUGACAAGGGCUUCAAAACACAGAUUGAGAUUCUAAAGAACACUAGUCAUCCACAGUCAAAAGGGAUCACAAAUCAGUACCCUGUUCUCUUCCUUUUGCUAGAAAUCAGUAUUGAAUUUUGUCGAACGAAGACUGCAUACAAUUUUGAGGGGAAGAAAAAACAAAGCAGUGCUUCUUUGCGCCAUUGUCUCCUUAUCUGGUAGCUAUGGAGAAACUUCUUUAAAAUAGCAGUACUUUCUCCAUCUACAAGUUGAGAUGCCUAAAUUUUAAACCAAAAGCAACCUCUAUCCACUGGGGCUACUUCAAUGAUUUCCCUUUUGUGGUCAUUUGAUCUUGUACAUAACAUUUUCAAAGGAUAAAGAGUUUUGGGUUUGACUGCAACGCCUGACCCAAAAUUUUUUAAAAAAACUAAGAUCUAAAAAUAUUAGGUCUUGCAGGUUCUUUUAUUGCUUGAUUUCUCCAUCAAAUCGAACACAACUUGCACGAAACGGAUCCCCUACAGUUCCUCUACAACCCCAUGUGAACGUUGCAGGAUGAAUGACAACACGGCGUCACCGGGGACGGCGUGAAGAGGUCAAUGCAGGCAGCCUUUUCCUGCAGAUUUGACAACUCAGGGAGGCUACUUUGAACCAACGGUUGGGAUCCUUCCCAACAGAAUCAAGGCUGAAAUUUUUUCCCGGUAUAGACAAGAUUGCCCUCUUCCACCGCCUAUAAAUAGAGGCGGAGUUGAUGGCCUGAUGGAGGAGAAAAUCGAGUCCAAAGUUGACAAAAAAACCAGCCUCCUCCCUAGUUUUUUUUUUCUUUUUCUGCAACAAGUCUCUCUCUCUACACUCUCUCUCACCGUGCUCUCAGCGACUCCAAGCCACGCCGCCACCAGCUCGUCUUCCACCCUCUCCACCACACUUAUUCCUCUCCACCGAAAGCACCUCCUUUUUCCUCCACAACGGCAGCAGCCCAUCAACACCAUCAUUUUCAUUUUCUUUCUUCUCCAGUAUCGGCAACAGCAGCACCGACUCCUCCACAGACGCCGCCACCAGCUUCAGGGCGACUACUCGGACCACCUCCAACCUCACUCCAGGUCGGUGACAUCAACUGCUUCUCCCCCCCGCAAGGUUGCCUCCCGCUCCACUCCGCGGGCUGCAACUGCAAAGUUGCAUAUAGAACGUGAACUUACUGUUCACGUUCUGCACAUAAUUCAUUUCACUUGGGUCAAGCCAGUUCUGGCCCAGACCAAAUGUUUGGGCCGGGUCCGGCCCCCAAAAAGGAGAGAAAGAAAGUAUGUUGGGCCGAUAUCGGCCCAAUCUUUUUGGGGCCGAUAUCGGCCCACUGUUUCUGGGUUUAUGUCUGGCCCAGUCAUCUGGGCCGGCCCAGCCCACCUGUUUUAAUAAUAUUUAUUUAAUAUAUAAUAUUAUAUUAUAUAUUUCUUUUAAAAAAAACAAAAAAUUCCAAAAAAAUUUCAAAAAUCCUUUGAAAAAAAUUGUGAUUUUCUCAAAUAUUUUUUUUACCAAUUUUGCAUAAUAUCGGGUUGUAUAUUUACACUGUAAAAUACAAAUCCUGUAUUAAAAUACCUGGUUUUCUCUGAAAUAUUUCAAAAAAAAGAAAAUUAAAACAUUCUAAAAAAGAAAAAAUAUUUUAUUGCAUACGGCCAAAUCCUAAAAUUUUUCCAAGCAUAUUUUUCAUAUAAAAAAAUGAAAACAAAAAUUGCAUCUUUUUCAUGUUUAAAAAAUCCAAAAAUGGAUAUCGUAACCAAUUUAUGAUUAUCCACUAGGAUUUGGUCAACAUGUCAAAAACCUUUUUCUAAUUUUUUUAGGGUCCAGAUGUAGACUUUAAUAUUUAUGGGUGUAAAAUUACACGAUAAAAUACACCCUCAAGUAUUAAAGAUACAAGGUGUAAAAAUACGAUGCUAAAAUUCAGACUUUAAAACGGUUAGGAUUUAACCCAAUAAGGUAGAGACUUUCUCAUGAAACGAGAUCUGCCUUGAGCCUUAGAAAAGACCAACGAAUAGAAACCCAACUUGGAAAAAAACAAUCAAACAAUAAUGCAGCUUACCUUAGGUAGGGUGCACUAGGUGUGAUGCGUCUUCCCCUUGCACAACCAGUCCCUUACUCAGACUCUCGCAGACCAUAGGUUCCUAGUGACCAUAAUACUAGGUGGCGACUCCUGAAUCUUAAUCAUAAUUUUAUGAUUAAAUCCAAAAAAAUCUUCCUAACACACCUCACAUAGGAGGCACGACAGAAAGCCUUCUUUGUCGCCAGACGACAUCGCACCGGCGCUCGCGCACCCCGCGACAAAGAUAAUUUAAAAAAAAAACCAUAAUAAAAAAAAUUAUGUGGGGAAAGACUGUAACAAUCCACAGUUUAAAAAAAAAUAAAACUAAAUUUCUAAACAGCUUAAUAUAAAAAAAAAAAGAAAAAAAAAAAGAAGGUCUUCGGUGGCCAUUGAUAGCUAUGCGAUGAACUACUCAAAAUGCUAGAACAAUUGCAAAUCCCAGUUGCUAUGUAAUGGAACUUCCAGGCUAAGGCUCCUUUAAAUUACCUGCACGCCCGGCGUAGGAAAUUAUUAUUCUAAUUAUUCAACGACAACUUCAAGACAUGGCUGGCGUCGGGUGAUGACGAAGACAUUAUGACGUAGGUCUGCUGAAGUGGACCAAGUGGUAUUCGCAUUAUCACGUGCUUCUACAACUCUCCUCUUGCUUUUUUUUUUUAAUCUCCUUUUUUUUUGUUUUUGUUUGUGUUCUAGUUUUAUCCAUGGUUUGAUAAUUGUUUUGUGAGUUUGUUAUUAAAUGUAUUUUGUGCUUUUAUCUUUUUAAUAAAAUCUUUAUAUUUAUUGAUUAAAAAAAAUACUUAAUUUGUUUUUUUAAUUAGAAAAUUAUUCUCUUCUGGUUUUGCUGCAUUUGAAAAUGAAUUUUUCUAUCAAAAUUUUUUUUUCUAAUAUAAAUCAAUAAUCAUAUGUAAAUCAAAGUUGAAAUGAACGAACAAACAAACUAUGUACAUGGCAUCUUCCGUAGGAAGCUUAGGAAAGGAUGAAGGCCAAGAAUAAUGUAAAAUAAAAACCUAUGCCUCCACUACCAAUAAUGUAAAAAAAAUUAUUGAGAAAAAUAAAUCAUGAAAAUGUACUUCCAGCUCCAGUCAUCCAAAGCUUCUUAAGUCUUAGAAAAAAACAUUUAACACAAAUCUCGAUAUAAUUCAUAUGUUAAUUAAAUUCUCAAAGAUAUCGAGAGAAUUCUUGAUUAGAUUUUUAACGUAGUCUAUUUUCUAUCAAAUGUGACUUGAUAAUAAUCAUAUGCAUCAAAAUAAAUUCUCUUUAAAUAGUUAUUGGUUUUUUUCUUUUUUUUUAUGUUUUUUUUUUAUUUUUUCUAAAAUUAUCUUUAUUGAUUUUAUUUUUUUAAUAUUUAUUCGCAGUUAUAACACCAUCAAACAUAUUUAUUUUAUAAACUCGUGAUAAUGUGCUAGCAUGCUAUUUAGUAUCAAAUUAUAGUGUGUGUAUAGUAUUACUGUGGAGAUUAUUUUUUAAAAUAUUUUUAUAUGAAAAUAAUAUUUUUUAUUUUUAAAAAAUUAUUUUUAAUAUUAAAAUUUAAAAUGAUAGAAAAAAAUAUAAAAAAAUUAUUUUAAAAAAACAAUUUAUAUUUUUAAAAACACAGUUUAAAAAGCUAUUCCAAACAGCGCUGGAUCCACCACGCAGCUUGGGCUUACGUCCCUUUACGAAAGAUGAGAUUCACAAUAACAAGAGAAGAAGGGUUACUGCUACAAUUACAGGAAUAUUUGCUCUAAAGGUGAAGUUUCUCCAUCCAACCAGGUAGAAACAAAGAGAGUGGCACGAUGGCAUCAAUUUUAUUAGACGAGUGCUAUAAGUUUGGAGUUCACAAUUACUAUUUCUUCUAUUAGAAAACACAUUGCAAUGUAUGUAUAUUCUUUUUUAUGUUGAAAAUUUUUAACGAAGGGCGGGUUAACUAGUUAAUAGUCUCAUGUUCUUUAGAAAUUGAAGGGAUUAAACACUAAAGUAACUAACUUUCCUCGCCAAAAAAAAGGUAUGGUUUGAUUUUUUAACAUAUGAUUGAAAUUUAAGUUUUAAAUUUAAGUUUUAAUCGCCACUAGAUUGGUAGCCUGCAUGCCAUGUCACGCGCUAGCAGGAUUAAUUUUUUUUUCAUCGGAAGAAAAAAAUGCUUAGUCAUUUUAUAUUGGAUUAAUAUGAUUAAAACAAUAGGAAUGAUAAGCAUUUUCCUCUACGAAUGAGGAAAACCUCAUAACAAGUGAUGGAGAUUUGAGAACAACAAGCAACCAUGGAUUCCCAAGUUUCAAAUGGGUCACAGGAUUCACAUAAACUUAGCCAAUCCGGUUAUUUAUUCUUCGUAUCGAAAUACAGGACAUGAAAAUCCUUCAGCAACACACCUCUUAAUUACAUAUCAAUAACAGCAAAGACAUCCACAUCUUCACACACAUGCAACAAACACCUUACAUCGCACGCUUCUUAUAGCAGAAAGCCCAUAAAACCAGAUACAAGGAGCGCUUGCCCGCUUAAGCUCUGCGGCACACAUCUCCAUCGCAGUUCCAUCCUUCCUUUCCCUUUUCACUUCCAGUAUCUUCAUCUUCCUUCAACGCACAUUUCGGGUGAAGAUCAAAGUCACAUUGUUUGCAAUAGAAAGACCAACUAUGUCCUGUUUCACGACAGCCAUUGCAAACAUAUGCUUUGCGUUUAGUACGAAUCAGCUCAUGCUCAGUAUGAAGUUCGUGUUUCACUUUCUCUGGCCACCCCUUUUCCUUUUCCUCAAGCUCCUCCUCCAAUUGCUUUAGAUGUUCCUCGGUAAAUGGAAAAGCAUCUGCCCCGUAAGCUGUCAAGUGCUUCCGAGCUUCCUUGGUAAUGGUCCGGCCACUUGGGCCAAUCGCUACAGCUGCAGGAAUGCCUUGAAUUUUGAAUUUCCGACUCAGGAUUUGUUUCCUUCCAUCAACAAAUGGAAGGGCUAACCAAGGCAUUUCAGAAUAGAACUCGUCAAAGGUGGAUUGAUCGCUGUCGCUUGAGAUGAAGAUCACCUCGAAUGCGUUGUCUUUUCCUUUAAUUGUGUGGUAUGCUUCAAUUAGCUUGGGUAAAAAGGCACGAC
RNAcentral lists this long non-coding RNA (27959 nucleotides) under Populus trichocarpa (black cottonwood). RNAcentral's name for it is "long non-coding RNA (PTRI_LNC002468)". Lineage: Eukaryota; Viridiplantae; Streptophyta; Magnoliopsida; Malpighiales; Salicaceae. The record is from RNAcentral.